RNAcentral lists this ribosomal RNA (810 nucleotides) under uncultured bacterium. RNAcentral's name for it is "bacterial SSU rRNA". It matches the Rfam family "Bacterial small subunit ribosomal RNA", at positions 34 to 857 of the family's 1533-position model. The record is from RNAcentral.
UGCUGGCGGCGCGCCUAACACAUGCAAGUCGAACGAGAGAUGAGGAGCUUGCUCUUCAAAUCGAGUGGCGAACGGGUGAGUAACGCGUGAGGAACCUGCCUCAAAGAGGGGGACAACAGUUGGAAACGACUGCUAAUACCGCAUAAGCCCACGGCACGGCAUCGAGCAGAGGGAAAAGGAGCAAUCCGCUUUGAGAUGGCCUCGCGUCCGAUUAGCUAGUUGGUGAGGUAACGGCCCACCAAGGCGACGAUCGGUAGCCGGACUGAGAGGUUGAACGGCCACAUUGGGACUGAGACACGGCCCAGACUCCUACGGGAGGCCGCAGUGGGGAAUAUUGCACAAUGGGGGAAACCCUGAUGCAGCGACGCCGCGUGGAGGAAGAAGGUCUUCGGAUUGUAAACUCCUGUUGUUGAGGAAGAUAAUGACGGUACUCAACAAGGAAGUGACGGCUAACUACGUGCCAGCAGCCGCGGUAAAACGCAGGUCACAAGCGUUGUCCGGAAUUACUGGGUGUAAAGGGAGCGCAGGCGGGAGAACAAGUUGGAAGUGAAAUCCAUGGGCUCAACCCAUGAACUGCUUUCAAAACUGUUUUUCUUGAGUAGUGCAGAGGUAGGCGGAAUUCCCGGUGUAGCGGUGGAAUGCGUAGAUAUCGGGAGGAACACCAGUGGCGAAGGCGGCCUACUGGGCACCAACUGACGCUGAGGCUCGAAAGUGUGGGUAGCAAACAGGAUUAGAUACCCUGGUAGUCCACACCGUAAACGAUGAUUACUAGGUGUUGGAGGAUUGACCCCUUCAGUGCCGCAGUUAACA